AGCGAACGCUGGCGGCAGGCCUAACACAUGCAAGUCGAACGAACCUUUCGGGGUUAGUGGCGGACGGGUGAGUAACACGUGGGAACGUGCCUUUAGGUUCGGAAUAACUCAGGGAAACUUGUGCUAAUACCGAAUGUGCCCUUCGGGGGAAAGAUUUAUCGCCUUUAGAGCGGCCCGCGUCUGAUUAGCUAGUUGGUUGAGGUAAUGGCUCACCAAGGCGACGAUCAGUAGCUGGUCUGAGAGGAUGAUCAGCCACAUUGGGACUGAGACACGGCCCAAACUCCUACGGGAGGCAGCAGUGGGGAAUCUUGCGCAAUGGGCGAAAGCCUGACGCAGCCAUGCCGCGUGAAUGAUGAAGGUCUUAGGAUUGUAACAUUCUUUCACCGGCGACGAUAAUGACGGUACCCGGAGAAGAAGCACCGGCUAACUUCGUG
Molecule: ribosomal RNA, 434 nt
Filed under: uncultured bacterium
Lineage: Bacteria
Description: partial 16S ribosomal RNA
Rfam family: Bacterial small subunit ribosomal RNA
Source: RNAcentral